Molecule: long non-coding RNA, 380 nt
Organism: Mus musculus (house mouse)
Lineage: Eukaryota; Metazoa; Chordata; Mammalia; Rodentia; Muridae
Product: predicted gene, 54235
Exons: 3
Source: RefSeq, a predicted model, not a curated record
GUGAAGCCCACUGCCUCUCACAUAGACUCACUGCAAGGCAAGAGACUCCUUCUACCAACCACUUGAAAAACAAGAGCUGAGCAGGAAGGAAGUAUGCCACACCCAUCCCAAGAGCCAACUGUGGCCAACUUGCUUCAAAUUAUAGAAGACAUUUUUCAUCAUAUGUUUUUCUGGAGAAAGUUAUUUUGGAAACCGAGCUGAGCAACAGAGCUGAGCGGCUUCCCAGGAAUCCUGCAGACAGAGCUGCAUGAAAGUGCUGAGAGAGGAAGCCUGCCUGUGAGCUCUUGGAUGUCAGUGGCUGCCUUCUGGGGUCCUGAGCCUUCUAUUCCCUGUAGGUCUGAAUGUACGGGAGGCACUGCACAUUUCUAUUGUAUAUUUCC